This 450-nucleotide ribosomal RNA is filed under the name uncultured bacterium. RNAcentral describes it as "partial 16S ribosomal RNA". It matches the Rfam family "Bacterial small subunit ribosomal RNA", at positions 354 to 796 of the family's 1533-position model. The record is from RNAcentral.
GUGGGGAAUAUUGGACAAUGGGCGAAAGCCUGAUCCAGCCAUGCCGCGUGUGUGAAGAAGGUCUUCGGAUUGUAAAGCACUUUAAGUUGGGAGGAAGGGCAGUAAGUUAAUACCUUGCUGUUUUGACGUUACCGACAGAAUAAGCACCGGCUAACUUCGUGCCAGCAGCCGCGGUAAUACGAAGGGUGCAAGCGUUAAUCGGAAUUACUGGGCGUAAAGCGCGCGUAGGUGGUUUUGUAAGUUGGAGGUGAAAUCCACGGGCUCAACCUGGGAACUGCCUCCAAAACUGCAUGACUAGAGUACGGUAGAGGGUAGUGGAAUUUCCUGUGUAGCGGUGAAAUGCGUAGAUAUAGGAAGGAACACCAGUGGCGAAGGCGACUACCUGGACUGAUACUGUCACUGAGGUGCGAAAGCGUGGGGAGCAAACAGGAUUAGAUACCCGUGUAGUCC